UACGUAGGGACCAAGCGUUGUUCGGAUUUACUGGGCGUAAAGGGCGCGUAGGCAGCGUGUUAAGUCACUUGUGAAAUCUCUAAGCUUAACUUAGAACGGUCAAGUGAUACUGAUGUGCUAGAGUGCAGAAGGGGCAACCGGAAUUCUUGGUGUAGCGGUGAAAUGCGUAGAUAUCAAGAGGAACACCUGAGGUGAAGACGGGUUGCUGGGCUGACACUGACGCUGAGGCGCGAAAGCUAGGGUAGCAAACGGG
Molecule: ribosomal RNA, 253 nt
Filed under: uncultured bacterium
Lineage: Bacteria
Description: partial 16S ribosomal RNA
Rfam family: Bacterial small subunit ribosomal RNA
Source: RNAcentral